AUUGAACGCUGGCGGCAUGCUUUACACAUGCAAGUCGAACGGCAGCACGGACUUCGGUCUGGUGGCGAGUGGCGAACGGGUGAGUAAUACAUCGGAACGUGCCCAGUCGUGGGGGAUAACGUAGCGAAAGCUACGCUAAUACCGCAUACGAUCUAAGGAUGAAAGCGGGGGAUCGCAAGACCUCGCGCGAUGGGAGCGGCAGAGGUCAGAUUAGGUAGUUAGUGGGGUAAAGGCUCACCAAGCCGACGAUCUGUAGCUGGUCUGAGAGCAGGACCAGCCACACUGGGACUGAGACACGGCCCAGACUCCUACGGGAGGCAGCAGUGGGGAAUUUUGGACAAUGGGCGCAAGCCUGAUCCAGCCAUUCCGCGUGCAGGAUGAAGGCCCUCGGGUUGUAAACUGCUUUUGUACGGAACGAAAAGGCUCUGGUUAAUACCUGGGGCUCAUGACGGUACCGUAAGAAUAAGCACCGGCUAACUACGUGCCAGCCGCCGCGGUAA
RNAcentral lists this ribosomal RNA (500 nucleotides) under uncultured bacterium. RNAcentral describes it as "partial 16S ribosomal RNA". It matches the Rfam family "Bacterial small subunit ribosomal RNA", at positions 30 to 523 of the family's 1533-position model. The record is from RNAcentral.